Molecule: ribosomal RNA, 493 nt
Filed under: Trimeresurus stejnegeri (Stejneger's pit viper)
Lineage: Eukaryota; Metazoa; Chordata; Lepidosauria; Squamata; Viperidae
Description: partial 12S ribosomal RNA
Rfam family: Bacterial small subunit ribosomal RNA
Source: RNAcentral
GCCUAGCCGUAACAUACAAUCAAAUUACGAAUUGUUCGCCAAACAACUACGAGUAAUACUUAAAACUUAAAAGACUUGACGGUACUUCACCCCGACCUAGAGGAGCCUGUCUAUUAACCGACAAUCCGCGAUUAACCCAACCACUUCUUGCCUAACAGUCUAUAUACCGCCGUCGCCAGCUUACCUUGUAAAAGAAAUAAAGUGAGCUAAACAGUAACACACUAAAACGACAGGUCGAGGUGUAACUUAUGAAGCGGGCCAAGAUGGGCUACAUUCUCCAACAGAGAAUACGAACAACACUAUGAAAUUAAUGUUUGAAGGCGGAUUUAGCAGUAAGAUGAGAACAAAACACUCAACUGAACACAACGCAAUGAAGUGCGCACACACCGCCCGUCAUCCCUGCCACCACAAUAUUAAAUCUUAAUAAAUCACUUAAUAAGCCAACCAGGGCAAGUCGUAACAUGGUAGGUGUACUGGAAAGUGUACCUAGAAA